AUGGCUCUGGGAAGAGGCAGUGCGAGGAACAGCGCCGCGGUCCUCGGCGCGGCGGCGCUGCUGCUCGGCUUGCUCGCGAUGAGCGCCGAGGCGGCCAAGUACACGGUCGGCGACUACGGGGGCUGGAAGUUCAACGUCGCCGGGUGGGCCAAGGGCAGGACCUUCCGCGCCGGCGACGUGCUCGAGUUCAAGUACAACGGGGCGGUGCACGACGUGGCGGCCGUGGGCGCGGCGGCGUACCAGAGCUGUGUGGUGCCCAAGGGCAAAAGGGCGCUGCGCAGCGGGCACGACAAGGUGAGGCUGGUCAAGGGGAUGCACUACUUCGUCUGCACCGUGCGCGGGCACUGCAAGGCCAACAUGAAGAUCGCUGUCAGGGUCAUCUAG
Molecule: ribosomal RNA, 384 nt
Filed under: Triticum aestivum (bread wheat)
Lineage: Eukaryota; Viridiplantae; Streptophyta; Magnoliopsida; Poales; Poaceae
Description: partial small subunit ribosomal RNA
Source: RNAcentral